ACACACUGGUAUAGAUCCACAAUUAUUUCCCCCCUUUUAAUUUUCCCCCUUUUAACAAAAACCCUAAGUCCAGACUUCCUCUGGCAGCAUUCCUCAAGAGUCUCAGUCUCUGCUCGCGUACGCUGCUCGCAACUCACGCAUCGCAGUCGCAACAUGUCUCUCAGUCGCAGCAGGUCGCCCUCGAAGCAGUCGCACAUCGGCGUCGCAGUAGUGCCGCACGUAGCAGCAGCGAAAUCUCGGAGGGCAAGAAGACUCACGAGGGUGUAUACAUCAAGUACUUGAGAGGGGGAAGACAGAGGAUCCACUUAGGAAUUAGCUCAAAGUUGCAAUGGCCCAUGAGGUUCAUGAAAUUAAUAUAGAUGACAUAAGCACCAACUGAAGCUAUUGAAACAGUCCCAGUGAAUACAGUUGUGAACACAGGUUACAUUCGGAUGAGGGUAUGACAAAUACCAUUUUAAAGUGCAUUGGAACACACUAUAAUGGUGUGUAUCCGAGUUGGAGUUUGAUUCCACUAAAGGCCUAGGGGCAAAUGUUCAAUGAAUUUAAGAAAUAUUAUGUAUGGGCUCCUGAGCAUGAGGAACAAGUUCAAUUGACUUCAAGAUUAAAGCCAUAAGAUAUCUUUGCUCACUGCUGAGCUUGUUGCAGUAGGGGAAAGAGAGAAGAAGAGAGAUGAGCAGAUGGCAGCAACAAGGACGUAAUGGAAGCAACAAAUGAGCUAGAGAACAAGAGGUAUACGGUGCUUCAAACUCAACCAACUUCUCUUUUGGAAUCAGGAAUUAUUAUUCAUCCAUGUCUCGGUGAUACACGUCGAGGUCAAGUGGAUGCGAUCGAAGAGGAGAGUGAGGGUGAUGAGGAGUAGUUAUAUCUAUUGUCUAGACAUUUUAGAUUUUGUACUAAUAGUUUGUAUACUUUUUAAUUUUUUUGAUUAGUUUAAUUGAAUGAAUUGAAGUAUUAUUUGAAUUAGUGUAACGUAAAUAUACAAAAAUAUCGUGUUGGCAGCUCUUUGAGCUGCUGAUUUGAUUGAAAAUAUAAAGGUGGGCAAGAA
This is a long non-coding RNA of Solanum dulcamara, 1045 nucleotides long. RefSeq lists it as uncharacterized. The record is from RefSeq and is a predicted model, not a curated record. The transcript is spliced from 4 exons. Lineage: Eukaryota; Viridiplantae; Streptophyta; Magnoliopsida; Solanales; Solanaceae.